RNAcentral lists this ribosomal RNA (248 nucleotides) under Natrialba aegyptia DSM 13077. RNAcentral describes it as "partial 23S ribosomal RNA". It matches the Rfam family "Archaeal large subunit ribosomal RNA", at positions 641 to 893 of the family's 2987-position model. The record is from RNAcentral. Lineage: Archaea; Methanobacteriati; Methanobacteriota; Halobacteria; Halobacteriales; Natrialbaceae.
CGUCGUGCGUUUUGAAAAACGAACCAGGGAGUGUGCCUGUUUGACGAGUCUAACCCGAUCAUCGGGGAAGGCGUAGGGAAACCGACAUGGCCGCAGCAUUGCGAGGGCCGCCGUGUUCAAGCGCGGGGAGUCAAACGGGCACGACCCGAAACCGGACGAUCUAGACAUGGACAAGGUGAAGCGUGCCGAAAGGCACGUGGAGGCCUGUUAGAGUUGGUGUCCUACAAUACCCUCUCGUGAUCUACGUC